CAGUCGCCACGGUAAUACAGAGGGUGCGAGCGUUAAUCGGAUUUACUGGGCGUAAAGCGUGCGUAGGCGGCUUCUUAAGUCGGAUGUGAAAUCCCUGAGCUUAACUUAGGAAUUGCAUUCGAUACUGGGAAGCUAGAGUAUGGGAGAGGAUGGUAGAAUUCCAGGUGUAGCGGUGAAAUGCGUAGAGAUCUGGAGGAAUACCGAUGGCGAAGGCAGCCAUCUGGCCUAAUACUGACGCUGAGGUACGAAAGCAUGGGGAGCAAACAGGAUUAGAGACCCGUGUAGUCCCUGUCUCUUAUAC
This 301-nucleotide ribosomal RNA is filed under the name uncultured bacterium. RNAcentral describes it as "partial 16S ribosomal RNA". It matches the Rfam family "Bacterial small subunit ribosomal RNA", at positions 509 to 807 of the family's 1533-position model. The record is from RNAcentral.